RNAcentral lists this ribosomal RNA (1048 nucleotides) under Stenomorpha consobrina. RNAcentral describes it as "16S ribosomal RNA". The stretch from base 620 to 1048 matches the Rfam family "Bacterial large subunit ribosomal RNA", at positions 2046 to 2699 of the family's 2925-position model. Lineage: Eukaryota; Metazoa; Arthropoda; Insecta; Coleoptera; Tenebrionidae. The record is from RNAcentral.
CCCGAAUUCAAAAGAGCUAAUUGAUUAUUUAUAUUAUUGUGGAAUAAAUAUUUAUAAUUUUUGAUUAGCAAUGAAAUGUUAUUCGUUUUUGAAUUUAUCUGGUUUCUUAAGAAAUAGAUUUAAUUUAUAUUAAUUGAAUAUUUUUUUAUUUAUAUAAUUAAAUGUUUAUUUAGUUAAAUAUUCAAGGGGAUUAGCUUUUGGGUUAUUUUAUAAGUUUUGUGUUUAUAAUAAUUAAUAGGAUUAGAAUUUUCCAUUUAUAAGAGGAUGUUAUAAUUAAUUAUUAUUAUUAUUUUAUUUUUAUGGAUUUUAGGUUUACUAUUAAGAUUUUAGCUUAAAUUUUAUUAGUUAAGCAAUAAUGAUUUAAUUAGUAUAGUUUAUUGUAUAAUUAAUUUUAUAUUAUAGUUUACAUUAAGGAAUUCGGCAAAUUAUUUUUCACCUGUUUAUUAAAAACAUGGCUUUUUGUAUAUGAUUUAAGGUCUGGCCUGCCCAAUGAUAAGUUAAAUGGCCGCAGUAUUUUGACUGUGCAAAGGUAGCAUAAUCAUUAGUUUCUUAAUUAGAAGCUGGAAUGAAUGGUUUGAUGAGAAAAUAACUGUCUCAGUGUAAUUGAUUUAGAAUUUUAAUUUUAAGUGAAAAAGCUUAAAUUUUUUAGAAAGACGAGAAGACCCUAUAGAGUUUUACAAUUUUUUUGGAUGAUUAAUUUUGGAUUUAGUUUUAUUUAUUUAGAGUUAUUGUUUUGUUGGGGCGAUAGUAAAAUUUAAUAAACUUUUAUUUUAUAGGUACAUAUAUUUAUGAGUAUUUGAUCCUUAUUUUUGGAUUAUAAGAUUAAAUUACCUUAGGGAUAACAGCGUAAUUUUCUUUGGAGAGUUCUUAUCGAUAAAGAAGUUUGCGACCUCGAUGUUGGAUUAAAAUUAAAUUUGGGUGUAGAAGCUUGAAUUUUAGGUCUGUUCGACCUUUAAAAUUUUACAUGAUCUGAGUUUAAACCGGUGUGAGCCAGGUUGGUUUCUAUCUUUUAGUAUAUAUAAUAUUUUAGUACGAAAGGACCAAUUAU